This 404-nucleotide ribosomal RNA is filed under the name uncultured bacterium. Its description in RNAcentral is "partial 16S ribosomal RNA". It matches the Rfam family "Bacterial small subunit ribosomal RNA", at positions 30 to 526 of the family's 1533-position model. The record is from RNAcentral.
AUUGAACGCUAGCGGGAUGCUUUACACAUGCAAGUCGAACGAGUGGAGGACGGGUGAGUAAUAUAUCGGAAAGUGCCCAGUAGCGGGGGAUAAGUACUCGAAAGAGUGGCUAAUACCGGAAACUAAUGGAGCGGCCGGUAUCGGGUUAGCUAGUUGGUGGGGUAAAGGCUAACCAAGGAAACGAUCCGUAGCUGGUUGGAGAGGACGACCAGCCACACUGGGACGUGGACACGGCCCAGACUCCUACGGGAGGCAGCAGUGGGGAUUUUUGGACAAUGGGGCAACCCUGAUCCAGCCAUCCCGCGUGUAUGAGAAGGCCUUCGGGUUGUAAAGUACUUUUGGCAGAGAAGCGGUAUCUGCAGAAUAAGCACCGGCUAACUACGUGCCAGCAGCCGCGGUAAUAC